GACGAACGUUGGCGGCGUGCUUAACACAUGCAAGUCGAACGGAAAGGCCCUGCUUUUGUGGGGUGCUCGAGUGGCGAACGGGUGAGUAACACGUGAGUAACCUGCCCUUGACUUUGGGAUAACUUCAGGAAACUGGGGCUAAUACCGGAUAGGAGCUCCUGCUGCAUGGUGGGGGUUGGAAAGUUUCGGCGGUUGGGGAUGGACUCGCGGCUUAUCAGCUUGUUGGUGGGGUAGUGGCUUACCAAGGCUUUGACGGGUAGCCGGCCUGAGAGGGUGACCGGCCACCUUGGGACUGAGAUACGGACCAGAAUCCUACGGGAGGCAGCAGUGAGGAAUAUUGCACAAUGGGCGGAAGCCUGAUGCAGCAACGCCGCGUGCGGGAUGACGGCCUUCGGGUUGUAAACCGCUUUCGCCUGUGACGAAGCGUGAGUGACGGUAAUGGGUAAAGAAGCACCGGCUAACUACGUG
Molecule: ribosomal RNA, 468 nt
Filed under: uncultured bacterium
Lineage: Bacteria
Description: partial 16S ribosomal RNA
Rfam family: Bacterial small subunit ribosomal RNA
Source: RNAcentral